Lutra lutra (Eurasian river otter) is the source of this 840-nucleotide long non-coding RNA. RefSeq lists it as uncharacterized. The transcript is spliced from 3 exons. The record is from RefSeq and is a predicted model, not a curated record. NCBI's taxonomy places the organism in Eukaryota, Metazoa, Chordata, Mammalia, Carnivora, Mustelidae.
GUAUCACAUCAAGAAUGAACUCUAACGUAAACUAUGGACUUUGGGUUGUCAUAACCUGUUAAUGAAGGCUGACCAGCUGUAACAAAUGAACCACUCCAGUGGGGGAUGAUGAAAAAAGAAAGCUGAGAGAAUUCAUAGCCAGCAGAUCCUCACUCCAAGAAAUGCUAAAGGAAGUUCUUCAGACUAAAGGGAAAUGAUAACAGAUGGAAACUUAGCUGUACAGAGAGAAAUCAAUACUACCAGAGUAAAUAUGUGGAAGACUUGCCUAAGAAUGUUCGUCGCAACUUAUUCAUAACAAUCCCAAGCUGGAAACAAUUCUACAGUCCACCAGCAGGAGAAUGGGUAAAGUCGUGUCAUGGUCACAGAAUUGAAUUCACUAAGCAACAUAAAGACCACUACUAACACCCAGCAACACAGAUAAAUCUUAAACCCAUUAUGUUGUCAGACACAAAUCACUGCACACCAUAUGAAUUCAUUUAAAUGACAUCUAAGAACACACAAAAAUAAUCUAUUGUGAUAGAAUAGGAUUUGCUUUUUGAAGGAUGAUUGACUGCAACAGGGCACAAACGAACUUUAUAGGGUGAGGAAAAUGUACAUUUCUGUUAGGGUGUUGUUACAGGUGUCUAUGUCUGUCAGAAGCCAUUGGACUUGCACUCAUUGAUGGUACAUUUCACUCUAUAAAUUUUGCCUAUGUCAAAAAUCAAACUCAAAAAAUCAUAAUGAUUGAGUGAAUUCACAGCUUGGGCAGAAAUUUUAUUCUGAGUAUCAUAUAAAAGGAAGAGAUGUAAAAUAUGAAAUAAAUAUUGUAAACUUGGCCAGAUGUUAUCAUGUCGGGAUGCU